UGGGGAAUAUUGGACAAUGGGGGCAACCCUGAUCCAGCCAUGCCGCGUGUGUGAAGAAGGCCUUCGGGUUGUAAAGCACUUUAAGUGGGGAGAAAGGCUCCUUGGUUAAUACCCAAGGGGAUUGAUGCCACCCACAGAAUAAGCACCGGCUAACUCUGUGCCAGCAGCCGCGGUAAUACAGAGGGUGCAAGCGUUAAUCGGAAUUACUGGGCGUAAAGCGCGCGUAGGCGGCUGAUUAAGUCGGAUGUGAAAUCCCCGGGCUCAACCUGGGAACUGCAUUCGAUACUGAUCAGCUAGAGUAUGAGAGAGGGAGGUAGAAUUCCACGUGUAGCGGUGAAAUGCGUAGAUAUGUGGAGGAAUACCGGUGGCGAAGGCGGCCUCCUGGCUUAAUACUGACGCUGAGGUGCGAAAGCGUGGGGAGCAAACAGG
RNAcentral lists this ribosomal RNA (429 nucleotides) under uncultured Gammaproteobacteria bacterium. Its description in RNAcentral is "bacterial SSU rRNA". It matches the Rfam family "Bacterial small subunit ribosomal RNA", at positions 355 to 776 of the family's 1533-position model. The record is from RNAcentral. Lineage: Bacteria; Pseudomonadati; Pseudomonadota; Gammaproteobacteria.